GACGAACGCUGGCGGCGUGCUUAACACAUGCAAGUCGAACGAAGUGGCAAACGGGUGAGUAACGCGUAAUCAACCUGCCCUUCAGAGGGGGAAAACAGUUGGAAACGACUGCUAAUCGCGCAUACUGAAGGAGGGUAUUGGGUCUGAUUGGCUAGUUGGGGGGGUAACGGCCCACCAAGGCGAUGAUCAGUAGCCGGGUUGGGAGGAUGGACGACCACAUUGGGACUGGGACACGGCCCAGACUCCUACGGGAGGCAGCAGUGGGGGAUCUUCCGCAAUGGACGAAAGUCUGACGGAGCAACGCCGCGUGGGUGAUGACGGCCUUCGGGUUGUAAAGCUCUGUUAAUCGGGACGCGGUACCGGAAUAGAAAGCCACGGCUAACUACGUGCCAGCAGCCGCGGUAAUAC
RNAcentral lists this ribosomal RNA (408 nucleotides) under uncultured bacterium. Its description in RNAcentral is "partial 16S ribosomal RNA". It matches the Rfam family "Bacterial small subunit ribosomal RNA", at positions 28 to 526 of the family's 1533-position model. The record is from RNAcentral.